CAAUUUCAGAACAAUUGAAAUACUUAUACACAACCGUUUGUACUGACACUAGAUAAAUGCUUGUUUUUCACCCCUUUGGGCCCCUUAUUCCUAAACCUUAGGGACCAUAACCCCAAAAUCAAUCCCAAGCUUCCUUUUGUGGUUAUAAACAUUGUGUUAAAAUUUUAUUGAUUUCUAUUUACUUAUACUAAAGUUAUUAUCCGGAAACCAUCCGUCAUCGGACGACGCUGAC
This 232-nucleotide long non-coding RNA is filed under the name Mytilus galloprovincialis (Mediterranean mussel). Lineage: Eukaryota; Metazoa; Mollusca; Bivalvia; Mytilida; Mytilidae. The record is from RNAcentral.